AUGAAAGCUUGGUUUGGUCUUGACAUCAACCCCUCCCAAUGGGCGACUCACCACUCCAUCCGUAGUUGGUUGAUCUAUAUGGCUACACGGAGCAAAGCAAUGGCGUCCCUCACAAUGCUCGCCAAUUGGACUAUUUGGAAUGAGAGGAACUCAAGGAUCUUCCGGAAGAAAUCUACGCCACCUCAAAUCAUCUUGAACAAUUUGAAGAAUGAGGCAAAGCUUUGGGUCCUUGCGCGGCCGAAGCGCUUGAAUAACUUGAUGCCGGGAGCAACGGCCCUGUAUCUUUUUUGGGGGUUUUGUUUUUUUGCUACCCCUCGUCAUAACCUUCUCUUUAUUAAUGAAUGUAUUUUGCCUCGGUGUUAA
This 363-nucleotide ribosomal RNA is filed under the name Triticum aestivum (bread wheat). RNAcentral's name for it is "partial small subunit ribosomal RNA". Lineage: Eukaryota; Viridiplantae; Streptophyta; Magnoliopsida; Poales; Poaceae. The record is from RNAcentral.